RNAcentral lists this ribosomal RNA (499 nucleotides) under uncultured bacterium. Its description in RNAcentral is "bacterial SSU rRNA". It matches the Rfam family "Bacterial small subunit ribosomal RNA", at positions 29 to 520 of the family's 1533-position model. The record is from RNAcentral.
AAUGAACGUUGGCGGCGUGGAUUAGGCAUGCAAGUCGAGCGAGAAUUUGCGAUUGGAAGCUUCGGCCGAAGAAAGUGAAGGAAAGCGGCAAACGGCGUAGUAAGGCGUAGGUACGUACCCUCGGGUCGGGAAUAGCCAUGGGAAACUGUGGGUAAUGCCCGAUAAUCUCUGCGGAGCAAAGGUGUGAUUCCGCCGGAGGAGCGGCUUACGUGAUAUUAGCUAGUUGGUGGGGUAAUGACCUACCAAGGCAACGAUGUCUAGGGGGUGUGAGAGCAUGGCCCCCACGACCGGAACUGAGACACUGUCCGGACACCUACGGGUGGCUGCAGUCGAGAAUCUUCCGCAAUGGGCGAAAGCCUGACGGAGCGACGCCGCGUGGUGGAUGAAGGCCCUUGGGUUGUAACACCUGUCAGAGGGGAUGAAAUCAUGGUUGGCAAUCCUUCCAUGUUGACAGAGCCUCAGAGGAAGCACGGGCUAAGUACGUGCCAGCAGCCGACGG